Molecule: ribosomal RNA, 804 nt
Filed under: Triticum aestivum (bread wheat)
Lineage: Eukaryota; Viridiplantae; Streptophyta; Magnoliopsida; Poales; Poaceae
Description: partial small subunit ribosomal RNA
Source: RNAcentral
AUGGUGGUGUGCGACCCCUUGCACCGGCAGUAUCUCCUGCUUCCCGAGCUCCCCGAUGACCUAGUCGCUUCGUGGAUUGACACACUCAUGAUUGAAGGGCCGCGCUUCAGCGGAUCCUACAGGGAGACCUUCCUAGCCCCUCCAGGCAAUGACGAGGAGGCAGCUGCUACGGAGGAGACGUCAUUCAGAGUGAUCUGGAUGGCGCUGCUCCAAACUAAGCCGAUGGCCGUUAUCUUCUCUUCCGGCACAGGGCAAUGGAGAGCCAUUCCAUCCCUGACUUGGAGCGAGUCGUUACCAGCUGGCUUCGUGCCGUCGACAUGGAUGGUUUCGUUCGUGUCGCGCCAUUACGCCAAUGAUCGAUUCUACUGGAUUUCAGGUUCGACUGAAAAAUUGCUAGUGCUUGACAUCCGGAGGGUGGAGUUCUCCAUGGCUGACCACCCACCCUGUGCCAGAGGUGUGAGCGAUGAUGUGGCCAUCGUGGAGGCCGGCCAAGGCAUGACUGUGAUGUUUGUGCCUAAGCUAACACACCUCGCUUUACUUAUUCCGUUUGGCGAAACAACGGUGGGAGUUCCACCCAAUGACAGAUGGAGGAGAAGACAAUCUCGCUGGAUUAUGGGUCCUUGCUCAUGGGUGCAUGCAGUGGGGAGGCACUUGCUCCUGUAUCGUGGCUCGUUCUUCAAGCCAGGUUACUUCACACAGGACGUCAACACGUUCGAGCUUGAGAGGGUGUGUGAUGCAUUAUCGAGACAAGCACACGGAUAUUGCAACUUCCCGCCGUCGUUAUUAUCGUCACGGACAGUGUAA